This is a long non-coding RNA of Mastomys coucha (southern multimammate mouse), 487 nucleotides long. RefSeq lists it as uncharacterized. NCBI's taxonomy places the organism in Eukaryota, Metazoa, Chordata, Mammalia, Rodentia, Muridae. The transcript has 3 exons. The record is from RefSeq and is a predicted model, not a curated record.
AUAUAAAUAACACAUAAAUCUGUAAACAUAAGCAUGUGUCUCUGUCACCUUCCCUUCCCAGGCUGGAUGGAGAUUGCUUUCUUCACUAGUGAGCUGGGAUAUUUCUAGAGAUAAUCUGGGAUUUCAUCCAGGCACGCGUCCGCCCUACUGCUGUUGGUUUUCUCGGCUGAGUGGCUGCUCUGUUUGUGGCCACACCCCCUGCCCUGAAUGCAUCAGAUCUGAUGGGGAAACAAAGGCAAAGAGCGCUGGGCACAUAGUUCAGCAGGAGAGCAUGCGCUCAGCACACUCAUAGCUCUGGGUUUUACUGGCAGAAUAAAGGCACAUGGACGCUAAGUGAAUGGCUUGAUGUCUUCUCAUUUAAGAUUCCUGGUGGAGCGCCAAACGUGGGCUUGAAGUAUUAGGAAAUCAAAAAUAUGCAGGUCGGUGGGAGCCAAUGGGCCCUUAUGGGCGUCUUUUCUUCAAAGAAGGUAUUUUUCUACAAUGUAAA